GUCAACUACAAAACCAUCCAAGUUAUCAAGAUGGUUAAUCCCAACUUUUGGACCAGCUGAAGAGCUAGGCCAACACCUGACAGACUGAUCCUUGCUCUUUUCUAACUUCUUUUGAAUUUUGGGACAAAUUUCAUCUUUAAAUCUCAUCAUCUUAUUCCUCUUAUUCAUGAUCCUAUUUAUUAUUUUGCUUCUUAUAACCUCA
This 202-nucleotide long non-coding RNA is filed under the name Elaeis guineensis (African oil palm). RNAcentral's name for it is "long non-coding RNA (EGUI_LNC030493)". Lineage: Eukaryota; Viridiplantae; Streptophyta; Magnoliopsida; Arecales; Arecaceae. The record is from RNAcentral.